Molecule: ribosomal RNA, 490 nt
Filed under: uncultured bacterium
Lineage: Bacteria
Description: partial 16S ribosomal RNA
Rfam family: Bacterial small subunit ribosomal RNA
Source: RNAcentral
AGUGAACGCUGGCGGUAGGCCUAACACAUGCAAGUCGAACGGCAGCACAGGAGAGCUUGCUCUCUGGGUGGCGAGAGGCGGACGGGUGAGGAAUACAUCGGAAUCUGCCCAGUCGUGGGGGAUAACGUAGGGAAACUUACGCUAAUACCGCAUACGACCUUCGGGUGAAAGAGGGGGAUCGCAAGACCUCUCGCGAUUGGAUGAGCCGAUGUCGGAUUAGCUAGUUGGCGGGGUAAUGGCCCACCAAGGCGACGAUCUGUAGCUGGUCUGAGAGGAUGAUCAGCCACACUGGAACUGAGACACGGUCCAGACUCCUACGGGAGGCAGCAGUGGGGAAUAUUGGACAAUGGGCGCAAGCCUGAUCCAGCCAUACCGCGUGGGUGAAGAAGGCCUUCGGGUUGUAAAGCCCUUUUGUUGGGAAAGAAAUCUUUCAGGCUAAUACCCUGGGAGGAUGACGGUACCCAAAGAAUAAGCACCGGCUAACUUCGUG